CUGUUUCCCACUUGCAGGGCCGGACUGGCCCACCGGGAUACUGGGAAAUUUCCCGGUGGGCCGUAAGGGGAGCUGGCUGUUCUGUCUCUGAUCCCCCGCCCUUGCGCGCUAGAAAGAGAACGGGAACGGGAAGAGAAAGGAACUUAGGAACUUUAAAAUCGCAAGUUAUACUUAGUUAAUAGAAUUUGAUCUCGUUAUUGUCAAUUUCACUUUCAC
Non-coding RNA from Pelobates cultripes (western spadefoot toad), 216 nucleotides. The record is from the annotation of a GenBank genome assembly. NCBI's taxonomy places the organism in Eukaryota, Metazoa, Chordata, Amphibia, Anura, Pelobatidae.